AGUGACUCAGGUUCAGAAAAGGAGUGGCUCUCAACCAGGGGCAGUUGUCCCCUCCGGGGAACACUUGCUAAUGUCUGGACACAGUUUUGGUUGUCACGACUAGGCUGGUGAUGCUGGAGCCACAACAACCACCGGAAACCCCAAGGCGAAGACCAGAGAAUCCCAGAGAUGCAGACAGAGACUUCCUAGAGCUACAGAGUAAGCCAAAUUGGAGUUGCCUUUUCUGGACGUCUUGUUAAGUCUGAUGGGGUUCAUCACAUCUGAGCCAGGACUGGCUUUUCUUGGCUGCAAGCUGAAAGUUGGGUCCAGGUCUGCUGUACUGAGGGUCUCCUAUCUUCCUUGGACAGGGACAACCAGAGGCCUAUUUAUCUCAUGAUGGAAGGCAGGAGAACAAGCAGGCAAGACCAGCUGUGCUAGCACAUGCCACCUCUUUGCCCACGUCACACCUGCUGACGUCCCAUUGGCCAAUGCAAGUCACACAACCAAAGCCAACAUCAACAGGACAAGGAAACAGACUCUGCCUCUAGAUGCACAAACUACAGAGUCACGGACAGAGGACACGGAUCCAGGGAAGGAAGAUGGAGAAUGAGAACAAUGACCCUCAAUAACACAGCCUCCCACAGGUUUCCAAAUCCCCAACCCAGGCAUAUAUCCAAGGAAAUGGAAUCAUGGGUUCAGGUUUUAGAGCAAGCAAUUUCUGCUCUCCCUGCCUAGUUUCCACACCCUUAACACAGGGGCAAUGAUGUCACAUCAAAACAUAUCAUACAAAUUUGUGAUGAUGUUUCAACAACUAAACACCAGAAAAAUGCUUAGGGCAGGGCCGGGUAGGAGGGGCAGAAGCCAAUAGUAACUUAACAUCACUGCUAACCCACAAAGUUCUGGGAAUUUCUUUGAAUGUCUAAUUAGAGAACCAUGUCCCCAAGAAAAAAAAAAAAAAA
This 938-nucleotide long non-coding RNA is filed under the name Homo sapiens (human). RNAcentral's name for it is "long independently transcribed non-coding RNA 1522 (LINC01522)". The record is from RNAcentral. Lineage: Eukaryota; Metazoa; Chordata; Mammalia; Primates; Hominidae.